This 18849-nucleotide long non-coding RNA is filed under the name Solanum tuberosum (potato). Its description in RNAcentral is "long non-coding RNA (STUB_LNC001978)". The record is from RNAcentral. Lineage: Eukaryota; Viridiplantae; Streptophyta; Magnoliopsida; Solanales; Solanaceae.
ACCCCCAAAUGAUUUUUGUUGUCAUUUUGGAUAGUCUGGGUUGUCGAAUUCAUGUAUGGGUAUGAUGGUGUCGAGUCCAUGAGACUCUAAUUUUGCGAGAGUCCUUAAUUGAGACUCCAUUUUUGCUCUAAAGUGUUCAUGCAAAUAAAGAAAGAAUAAAGAGAUUCGUGAUGUGAAUCCACUUUAAGACUAUAUCGAAUAAACCAAACAUGAAACCUAGUAAAGUCGUACAACCAAGAUACUAUCCGAAAUGGAAAAUAUGCAAGCAUAGGAUAAGCCAACUUAUUAACAGAACUCAAAGUAACUAGCCUACAAGAUAAAUCUAAUUCUCAAGUUUAUCCAAUUUAAUCUAUAACGAAGUUACAUUUUAAGGCAAGAAGAUAAUUAAAACAAGUAAUUUAUUUAAAACUUAUAAGAAAGACUUAAAUACAUAUACUAUAUAUGUUGACAUAAUAGGAAAGAAACUUAAAAACUCACAUUUUUAAAAAUAACAUAUUCAGAGAUUUACAUGCCAUUUAUUUAGAAAAAUUGAAGGAAGCUUAUGUACACAUAUUUGCUAAAAAAUAAUAGGAAAGAAGUUUAAAAAUUCACAAGUUAUUGACAGUAUAUUUUUCAUUCAACAAAGGGAACACAUAGAAGCAUCAUAACCUAAAAUCGCUUACCAGAUAAGGAUACCAAAUGCCAAGGAAAACAUUUUCAUCACGAUGACAAAGAAAACAGAGGAAAAGAGGAACACGUAACAAGUCGGAUAUCGAAAUACAAAGUUUAGGACAUAAUUUAGUAAAAAGCUAUACUCCGACAAACAUAAACGAAGCAAUACAUAUUUUAUAAGCUUAACAUUAUCUCAAAACAAAGGGAAAUAUAUUUGGUUAACAUCACUUAAGUAUGCUGAUAAGUAUUUUACUCAUUUGUCAAACUUCAAGCAGAGCAUAGUUUUCAAAGAGUUUACUACCUAAAAAUGAGUCUUGGAAACAUGAUUUCUAAAAAAUAAAAUAAAACAAUCUUCAAAAUACUUUAACAUCUGAUUUUGACAAAAGCAAUGAACAAAUAGUGAAUAUUAAAAUCAAAGAUCAACUAAUUAAGUUACAUUCAUUCAUCAUGAUGCCAAAAAUACAAAAGUGCUGAAAUGAAACUAAUAGUAAGUCCAUAACACAUUAAAACACAAAUUCGUUCAUAUCUCACGGAAAUAAAAAAAAGAAACUAGAUGUCAUUGACCUAUUUUGGGGCAGUGAACUGGGGGCAUUUUCGGUCGAAGAUAUGCUCGAAUAUGAAGACGAGGUUAAACCCGUUCAAAUCCAAAAUUGCAGCAACAAAAUGAAGAACAAAACUUUAAAACUAGGUGUGAUAGCUUCAAAGCUUUUAGGGUAGACGAGUAGCUGAAAAUCUUAUCCUCAAUUUGACUCCAAAUACAAGUAUUUAUAGGGAGAAAAAUAGAGUUCAUGAGCGGGAAUUUGAAUUUUUUAAAUUGGUAAAAAAAACCUUCAAAUCCAAACGUUGGAAACCCUUAGGAUAAGAUUUGCAGGAGCCACGUGAUUGAGAGGAGUUGGCGUGAAGAUGGAGUACCUACCCUCUACUUAUUGUUGACAAAAUACGCUACUUUUCCAGAAAAAAUGAAAGAGGAGACAUGAUGUGCGACUGCUAAGGGAAAAGACAGGAGAUUGAAACCUUAAGAUACUUGGAUAACUUUAAAAAUAAGAUUAGUUGGGCUGUUGUGUUUUUAGGCCUCCAAUUGGGGUUUUUUUUGGAUAAAUUUAGUAUCCCCAAAGGCUGAAUAAUUUUUGGGUCUCAAAUUGAAUCUUCUUCAACAAAUUUUGUGUCUCAAUUGGCUGAAAUAGUUUUUGGGUCUUUCAUUCUUUAAAACAAUUCUUCCGAGCUUCUAAUUUAAUAACUAACAUAACAUAUAAUUGGUAUGUAGAAAAAAAUAAAAAUGUUAAUAUUAUAAAUUUUCGCUAAUAAUUUAGAGAAAUAUUAACUUGUGACUAAUUUAAUAAGUAAGAAACUGAAAUAGGAUGACGACAAUCGAUUAUUAAAAAAAGGUGAUAGUAUAAUUUUACAUAUAAUUUUAGUAGUAAUAGAAUUAUGACAUAACGAUAACAAAAUUAAUGAUAAAUAGUCGUUGUAGUAAGAAUAGUAUAUGAAGAAAAAUAAUUUGCUACAUUAUUAAUUUAGAAGCUCGAAAACAAUAAAUUAGAAGAAAUGAGGGUCAAAAUUGGGUGUCAACAACUUGUCCCUCUUUGACCAGAAACGAUGUAAGAGUUUUUGGGCAAAGAAAUUGACGUAGUAGCCAAUUUUGUCCCGACCAACGCAGCUUUAUGAAAAAUAUGAGAAUAUUUUGAUGUGAAAAUUUAUAUAUAUCCCGAACUGUGGGACAUAGGUUGAGUAGUGUUCGAGAGUAGAUCCUUGACCAUUGUUGGUGAACUUGAUUCUCCAACAAAUUGCCCCAGUCCACUGCUUAGAAAUAGUUUCACGUUGUGCCAAGACCCCUGCAAAACUUAAGCUUGAUAAGAUAAUUAGUAAGUAAAUAUUAAAUAUAAAGCAUGGUGCAAUAAACACAUGGAAAUAACACCUCAUGGGUGUGAAUUUAUGAAAAAUGUGGCCUUGCAAGUCGAAAUGAUUUAAUGAGAUAAAAUCUUACAAAGUUUAUGGAAAGGGGGUUUAAGGCUGAUGAGACAUGAGAAUGGUGCUUUGCAGCGAUGAUUAAUGAGAAUGAAGCCUUAACCCAAAAAAUACAGCCUUUUAAGCUGAUGAUUUAUGAAAUGAAGUUUUUGAAGGUAAUGCAUUUUGUAAAGUGUUUGUGCAGUGCAUUUGAGAAUAUGCAUUCGUGUGAAACAUAUGAAAGCAUUUGCGCGGUGCAUUUUAGAAUAUCUGAAAGCAUUGUGCGGUGUAUUUGAAAAUAUUUGAAAGCAUUUAUGCGGAACAUCUGAAAGCAUUAGUGCGGUGCAUUUGAAAAUAUCUCGAAACAUUUGUCCAGUGCGCUUGAAAAUAUUUGAAAGCAUUAAUGCGGUGCAUUUAAAGGUAUUUAUGCAGAGCAAAACUGUAUGCAAUGUGUUUAAAUAAUAUUUGUGUAUCAACACAUUUUAAAACCUUUGUAAAGCUUUACUUAUAAGUUUUUGAAUCAUAAAUUUAUAAGUAAGUAAUUCAAACCACUCGGUAUACAGUCUUUUCGAUUCUAUAGACGUUAUUGACUUCUCAGCUCCUGUUAAUCCUGACAAACAUGCACUCAAAGAAACAUUAUAAGUUUUGGGGGAGGUUGAUUCGCGUUGACUUUGAAGGUCUGGCUCUUCAUACUUCUUGCUUCCAGCUUUGCUUGACUUGUAACUUUUGUCUAUCCUAAAUCUUGGUUAAUGAAUAACAAUGGAAAUAAAUAACAAGAAAACAUUUGAUUGAACAUCAUAUUUAAAAAUAAGAUAAAAUUAUAUACGUGUAUAUAUAAUAAUAAAGAAUUUAUGUCGAACUUCAAAUUGUGACAUGUCGUGAAACAAAACGAACGUCCUUUAUCUGAAGUCUUUCUUCUGUCGGAUGAUUUGAUUGACCAUAUACUCUUCAAAUCUCUUGAUAUCAACUUGCAAUGACUCCCUUAAAAACUGUCCCAGUUUUUGGCAAAAGAGAUAUGUUGUCCUUUGGUCACGAUGAUAUUGAACCUUCUAUAGGCUGCACACUAUUCUUUCAAGAGCAUCCAGCCAAACAUAACCUAAGUAUCCCACCAUGGAAUCAGGUCAAGGCGUAGUUCCAAUACAUGACAAAAGAUUACAUGAAAAUGAAAUAAAAACUUCUAGAUGUAGUAUCUCUUAACCGCAUCUGCAUUGAUGGCUUUCGACCAUAUCUUACUAUCCAUUUCUGCUAGAAUCAAAGCUCAUCCAGUCAGUACUCGGUGAACCAUGUAAGGUCCUUGCCAAUUAGAUGCAAACUUCUCCUUAGCCUCAUUUUGGAGUAGAAAUAUUCUCUUCAACACCAAUUGUCCCGGUUCAAACUGUCUCAAUCUUACUUUCUUGUUGAAAGCUUUUGUAACACCAUGUAUCCGAAAACAGACCUUAAAACAGAUUUCCAGAAGUUGCAAGUGCAACUCACAGACACCACCCACGGACCGUAGGGUGACCCACGGCCCGUGCUGGUGGUCCGUGGUUUGCAUCAGCAACCUCCCUCAAAACUCAUCCCCAAAAUUCGUCUAAGGGUUGACACACGACCGGACCCACGGACCAUGGUCCGCAUCCGUGGAUCAGAGCCCCAGAAACCAGCCUCUAGUACUGAUCAACGGUUGACCAGCACGGACCGUCAGUCGAUCGACGGUCCGUCGGUCACCCCGACAACAGUUAAGUCGGGGUCUUUUGGUCUUUUCGUAUUUUGUUGGACCCCUAAACUACGUGGUUUUGGUUAGUUUUAGCCUAGAAGCAUAACUAGAACUUACCUAAGUCAAAUCAUUCAUCAAAACUUAGAAAGUUAGAACGCUAAGAGGAGAAAGAAGUCAAGAACACUAGUUCAAGAACGCAACUAGGAUCCAUCAGUUCCAGCAUGGAAAUCGAAAAUUUUCUCCGUGGAAUUUGUCACCAGGUAUGUGGGAUUUCACUAGUGGGUUCCUUUUGCCCAUUAGGUCCUUAGAAUUCAGUCAGAUUCUUGAUUCCCCAUUAUUUACUAGACCUAGGAAUUUUAGAACUUCAGUAGAUUAUCAUAAACUAGUUAAUUUAAUGUUCCAAAUCAGAUUACCAUGUUAUUACUUAGUUUCUCAUAUGAUAUUCAUAACCCUAGUUGUAUAUAUUUGUUAGUUCAUGAAUUAUGCAUGCUAGGUUAGAUUAUUCAGUUAUUACAGAUAUACCUAUGCUUCAGUUUACGAAUGUCACACUAUCAGUCAUAAUUGUUGCAUUCUCAGUUUGCAUGUUAGUUUUAAUCUAUCUAGUUAUUACAGAAAUUUAGUCUUAAUGUGUUAAAUCAUUUAAUCUAUUGGGAGUAGCAUAAUACUGAGUUGGACUAGGGUCAGUCACGUAUAUAGUUCCAGAACUACGAGCCACAUAGGUUUUUAAGUCCUCUCUGUGGGAAUCAUUUUAGUGAUCACACCAGCAUGCCUCUAUACCUUUGGCCGGGUGUAUUGGGUCCUCUCGAUGGGGCUUAUACAUGGGACUCCACAUUUAGCUCAUGUGGUUUUAUGUCAGUUAUUAGUAGCUCUCACAGUUCAAUCAGACUCCAUUGCAUUGACCUCAUUUCAGUUAAGUCAGUAUUCAGUCUUAGCAUGUUAUAAAUUUGGUCAUUGCAUUCAGUUAGCUCAGUAUUCAGUAUCUAUAUCAUGUUCAGAUUAUACUCUUGCUUGUUCAGUUAUAUGUUAUUUCAUCUUUACUCUAUCUUACAUGCUUAGUACCUUUCAAGUAUUGACACAUAUUCUGUGCUGCAUCUUCUCAUGAUGUAGAUUCAGGUCCUCAAUAGUAGAUCUCGCAUCGAUCGGUUACCGAUCUUUAGAUCAGUAGUAUCAGUGGUGAGUCCUCAUUCUUCGAGGAUAGUAGUCAAGUUAUUUACUUCAGUAUUUCAGUCUUUUAGUUUCAGUUUUGCAAGAUAUAGUUGGGGCAAUAUCCUAGCACUUCUAGUCAGUUAGAGGUCAUUUUCAGACAUAGUUAAAUUCAGCUUAGUAUUGGAGUUUGAUAUUUCUCUUAUAUUAAAACUCUCUGAUUGAUAUAUUCAGUUCUAGAAUGGGUAUUCCCCAUCAUUCUUGUUUUCAUGAUAUUUAAGCUUCCGCAUCAGUUGUUAUUAUUCUUAGUGUGCUCAUGUCAUGCCAGCAUGGUUAGCUUGGGGUCACUUGUGAUCCUAGGUCCCGUGUUCGCAUCUCGGGGGUAGCUCGGGGUGUGACAAACUUGGUAUCAAAGCACUAGGUUUAAGUGUCCUAGGAUGUCUGAAAAGCCGCGCUAGGCCCUUUUCAUGGGUGUGUAGUGCGCACCAUAUCUAAUAAGAGAGAGGCUACACAGUGAUUUAGGAAAAAUCUUCAUUUUCUUGUUACUCUUAUCGUGCGUAAGGUAUGAUCUAAUUCCAUUCCAACUCGACGUUCUACGUUUCAGAGAUCAUGCCUCCUCGUAGAGCUAACGCCAGGAAUGCGAAUGCCAGGAACGUAAAUGCAGCUCAUCCAGUCCCAGAUCAAGAAGUUUCGAAUGCAGAGUUCUGGAACACCAUUCAGAUAUUGGCUCAGAGUGUGACCAACCAAAACAAUCAGUGGAUUCCAGUUCCGAUAGAUGCUAAUGUUGGGUCAGCUGUAGCCAGAGUGCGAGAUUUUGUUAGGAUGAAUCCGCCAGAGUUCUUAGGAUCGCAGAUUAGUGAGGAUCCGUAAAACUUCAUUGAUGAGGUGAAGAAGAACUUUAAAGUGAUGUAGGUAACUGGGAAUGAUCGGGUUGAGUUAACAUCUUACCAACUCAAGGAUGUGGCUCAUAUUUGGUAUACUCAGUGGAAAGAGAACAGGGGUACAAACGCUGCUCCUAUCACUUGGGAUUACUUUAGCGAGACCUUUCUGGACAGGUUUUUCCCUAGAGAGUUAAGAGAGGCAAAAGCUCAGGAAUUUAUGAACUUAAGGCAAGGUAACAUGACAGUCCAAGAGUAUGGGCACAAGUUUACCCAACUCUCCAGGUAUGAUCUUCACAUGGUUGUUGAUUUCAAGGCCCAAAUGAAUAAGUUUCUAUAUGGAGUGUCAGACUUGGUGAAGACAGAGUGUAGGAAUGCUAUGUUGCUAGAAAAUAUGAGCAUCUCUAGGCUCAUGAAUCAUGCUCAGCAGGUUGAAGGAGAUAACUUAGGGAACAGGCUAAGGAGAACAAGAAGGCUAGGACUGGGAACUAUGACUAUUCUCAACAGAAAUCGGGUGGUGGUAAUCGCUCGCAAUUUCAGUAGAGGUUUUCAACUCCAGCACCUUUAUCAUCUAGUGUUCCAUCCUCCAAGUUCCGUAAUGAUCAGAAGGGUAGGGCCUCAGGCUCUAAGUCUCAGGGAAGUGUUUCAGGUACCAAAACCUACCCAAAUUGUCCUAAAUGUGGUAAGAACCAUCCGGGUGAGCGCCUUGCAGGAAAAGAAUGAUGCUUUGGGUGUGGUCAGUCGAGUCACAGGUUGAAAGAUUGCCCUUUUAGACAGGGUCAAGGAGGUAACAAUGGUAGAGCUCAGUCCACAGCUUCAGCAACACCAGCAGGUCGCCUGACUCAGGAAGGUAACUCAUCUGGUACAGGAAGGUAACUCAUCUGGUACAGGAAGGUUAACUCAUCUGGUACAGGUGGCGGACAAUGCCAAAACAGGUUGUAUGCUCUUCAGGCUCGCCAGGAUCAGGAAGACUCUCCAGAUGUAGUCACUGGUACGUUACGAGUCUUUGACUUAGAUAUUUAUGCUUUGUUAGAUCCAGGAGUUACUCUUUUCUUUGUAACUUUUUAUAUAGCAGUCAAAUUCGAUGUUAGUUCAGAAACUCUUUCAGAACCUUUCUUAGUCUCUACUCCAGUCGAUGACCCAGUUAUAGCUAGGCGGAUAUACAGAAAUUGCCCUGUUACAGUCUCCCAAAGAGUCACCUCAGUAGAUCUUGUAGAGUUAGAAAUGGUAGACUUUGAUAUCAUUCUAGGCAUGGAUUGGCUAUAUUCAUGUUAUGCCUCAGUCGACUGUAGAACCAUGAUUGUUCGUUUUUAGUUUCUAGACGAACCAAUUGUAGAAUUGAAGGGUAGUAGCUUAGCGCCUAUGGGUCGAUUCAUUUCUUACCUUAAGGCCAGAAAAAUGAUCUCUAAGGGUUAUCUCUAUCAUCUAGUUCGGGUUAAGGAUUCAAGCUCCGAGACCCUAACUCUUGAGUCAAUUCCAAUAGUUAACGAGUUCCCAGAAGUGUUUCCAGAAGAUUUUCCCGGAGUUCCUCCCGAUAGGGAAAUCAACUUUGGAAUUGAUCUCCUUCCAGAUACCCAGCUUAUCGCUAUUCCUCCUUACAUAAUGGCUCCAGCACAACUUAAGAACUUGAAAGAGCAGUUGAAAGACCUUCUAGAUAAGGGGUUCAUCAGACCUAGUAUUACCCCAUGGGGUGCACCAGUGUUGUUCGUAAAGAAUAAAGAUAAUUCUCUCAGAAUAUGCAUUGACUAUAGGUAGUUGAACAAGGUCACAAUCAAGAAUAAGUAUCCCAUCCCCAGGAUUGAUGACUUGUUUGACCAACUUCAGAGUGCUAGUCAUUUCUCAAAGAUAGACCUUAGAUCGGGUUAUGAUCAACUCAAAGUCAGAAAUAGUGAUAUUCCGAAGACAGCCUUCAGAACUCAAUAUGAUUAUUAUGAAUUUGUAGUUAUGUCAUUUGGACUAACCAAUGCUCCUACAACUUUCAUGGAUUUGAUGAACAGAGAGUUCAAGCAGUAUUUGGACUUGUUCAUUAUCGUCUUUAUUGAUGAUAUCCUCAUUUACUCUAGGAAUGAGGAAGAACAUGUGAAUCAUUUGAGGAUUGUUCUGCAAACUCUCAAAAAUCACCAGUUAUUCGCUAAGUUUAGCAAAUGUGAGUUUUGGUUGCAAUCUGUUGCUUUCCUUGGUCAUAUUAUGUCUAGCGAAGUGAUCCGAGUGGAUUUUCAGAAGAUAACAGCAGUGAAACAAUGGCCCAGACCUACCUCUCCUAUAGAUAUCAGAAGUUUCUUGGGUCUAGCGUGCUAUUACAGACGGUUUGUGGAAGGAUUUUCAUCCAUUGCCUCACCAUUGACUAAGUUGACUCAGAAAAAGGUUAAGUUCCAAUGGUCAGAUGAUUGUGAGAAAAGCUUUGCAAAAUUGAAGACUAGGUUUGUUGACUCAAAAGAAGGUCAAGUUUUAGUGGUCAGAUGAUUGUGAGAAAAGCUUUGCAAAAUUGAAGACUAGGUUGACUACAGAUCUUGUUCUGACUCUACCAGAGGAUUCAGAUGGGUAUGUUAUCUAUUGUGAUGCGUCCAGAGUCAGCCUAGGUUGUGUGUUGAUGCAGCGAGGUAAAGUUGUAGCUUAUGCUUCUAGACAGCUUAUGGUGCAUGAGAAGAACUAUCCAACUCAUGACCUCAAGCUAGCAGCAAUAGUGUUUACACUUAAGAUUUGAAGACACUACUUGUAUGGUGUUCACGUAGAUGUGUUCACAGACCAUAAGAGCCUUCAGUAUUUGUUCACCCAGAAAUGGUUGAAUCUUUGCCAGAGGAGAUGGCUUGAAUUCCUCAAGGACUACGAUAUGAGUGUGCAUUACCAUCUUGGUAAGGCCAAUGUGGUAGCAGAUGCUCUUAGCAGACUAUUUAUGGGUAGUGUAGCAUAUGUUGAGAAAGAAAGAAAGGAACUAGCAAAGAAUGUUCGCAUACUUGCUCUCUUAGGAGUUCGUCUUAUGAGCAUAUCAAAUUGUGGUGUAACAGUUCAGAAUAUGUCAAAAUCUUCUUUGGUAGUGGAGGUGAAGGAAAAGCAAGACAGUGAUCCAAUAUUUCUUGAACUAAAUGGUGCAAUCCACCAGCAGAGGGUUGAGGUUUUCUCCCGGGGGGAUGGUGUACUUUGUUAUUAGGGUCGAUUAUGUGUUCCUAAGGUGGGUGAGUUGAGACAACAGAUUCGUGCAGAAAACCUUAACUCCAGAUAUUCUAUUCAUCCAGGCGCCACUAAGAUGUACCAUGAUCUGUGGGAAGUCUAUUGGUGGAAUGACAUGAAAAGAGAUAUAGCAGAUUUUGUGGCUAAGUGAAUUGCCAGCAAGUCAAUGUAGAACACUAGAAACCAGGAGGUAUGACUCAAGAGAUUGACAUUUCUACUUGGAAGUGGGAAGUGAUCAACAUGGACUUCAUCACAGGUUUACCUCGUACUCACAGACAUCAUGACUCCAUUUGGGUGAUAGUUGAUAAAGUUACUAAGUCUUCACGCUUUUUGGCAGUUAAGACUACAGAUUCGGCGGAGGACCACGCCAAGCUUUACAUUAAUGAGAUAGUUAGGUUGCAUGUGGUUCCUUUGUCUAUCAUCUCAGAUAGAGGUCCCUAGUUUACCUCUCAAUUCUGGAAGUCAUUUCAGAAAGGUCUUGGUACUCAGGUUAAUCUUAGCACAUCAUUUUAUCGACAGACGGAUGGUCAGGCAGAGCGUACCAUCCAGACCUUAGAGGACAUGUUGAGAGGUUGUGUGAUUAAUUUCAAGGGUAGUAGGGAUGAUCACCUUCCUCUUAUAGAGUUUACUUACAAUAAUAGUUACCAUUUCAGCAUUUAGAUGGCCCCUUAUGAGGCAUUGUAUGGGCGUAGGUGUAGAUCUCCAGUUGGUUGGUUUAAAGUAGGUGAAGCAGCCUUGAUAGGACCAGAUUCAGUCCUUGAUGCGUAGAAAGUGCAACUCAUUAUAGAUAGACUUAAGACAGGCCAGAGUCGCCAGAAGUCUUAUGCAAAUGUAAGGAGAAAGGGAACUAGAGUUCCAAGUUGAUGAUUGGGUUUUCAUCAAAGUGUCGCCUAUGAAAGGGGUGAUGAGAUUUGGCAAGAAAAGGGAAGCUCAGUCCUAGAUAUGUAGGCCCUUACAAGAUCUUGAAAAGGAUUGGUAAAGUGGCUUAUGAGUUAAAGUUGCCAACAAAACUAGCAGCAGUGCAUCCAGUUUUCCACAUUUCACUAUUAAAGAAGUGUGUGGGUGAUCCAACAUCUAUUGUACCCUUAGAAAGUGUGGCUGUGAAGGAUAGUCUCACUUAUGAAGAGGUACUAGUUGAAAUCCUUGAUCAUCAGGUUUGAAGGUUGAGAAACAAGGAAGUCGCUUCAGUCAAGGUUUUGUGGAGGAGUCAGUCCGUAGAGGGAGCUACUUGGAAAGCAGAAGCAGCCAUGAAAGCCAAGUAUCCUCACCUCUUUCCUUCCGAUUCCAUUCCAGCUUGAGGUAAUAGUUCCUCUUCAGUUUUUCAGUCAUUCAUGUGCAGUUUCAGUCUUAGUAUCAUGUUCCUUCAGUUUGUACUUGCAUUUUUAGCGUAUUUGCAUGUUCUUAGAACUUAGUUCAGUUAUAAAUCAGUUUCCAGUGUUUAGUGGUAGGGUUGUAGCUCUUUCCCUCCAUUUCAGCUAGUUUAGUCUUCAUUCGAGGACGAAUGUUUCCAAGGGAGAGAUAAUGUAACACCCCGUAUACGAAAACAUACCUUGAAACAAAUUUCCAAAAGUUGCAGGUGCAACUCACGGAUGCUAUCCACGGAUCGUAGGGUGACCCACGGCCCGUGCUGGUGGUCUGUGGUUCGCAUCAGUAACCUCCCCCAGAACUCAUCCCUAAAAUUCAUCUAAGGGUCGACCCAUGACCGAAACCACGGACCGUAGGUCAGACCACGGACCGUGUUCUGCGUCCGUGGAUCAGGCUCUAGAAACCAGCCUCCAACACUGAUCGACGGUUGACCAGCACGGACCGUCAGUCGAUCGACUGUCUGUUGGUCCCGUCCGACCGUCACUCCGACAGUAGUUAAGUCGAGGGUUUUUUGGUAUUUUCGUAUUUUGGUGGACCCCUAAACUACAUCGUUUUAACCCUAAACUACGUGUUUUUGGUUAGUUUUAGCCUAGAAACAUAACUAGAACUUACCUAAGUCAAAUCAUUCAUCAAAACUUAGAAAGUUAGAAUGCUAAAAGGAGAAAGAAGUCAAAAACCCUAGUUCAAGAACGCAACAAGGUUCCAUCAGUUCCAGCAUGGAAAUCGAAAGAUUUCUCCGUGGAAUUCGUCACCAGGUAUGUGGGAUUUCACUAGUGGGUUCAUUUCGCCCAUUAGGUCCCUAGAAUUCAGUUAGAUUCUUGAUUCCCCAUUUUUAACUAGACCUAGGGAUUAGAUUACCAUGUUAUUACUCAAUUUCUCAUAUGAUAUUGAUAACCCAAGUUGUAUAUAUUCGUUAGUUCAUGAAUUAUGCAUGCUAGGUCAGAUUAUUCAGUUAUUACAGAUAUACCCAUGCUUCAGUUUAUGAAUGUCACACUAUCAGUCAUAAUUGUUGCAUUCUCAGUUUGCAUGUCAAUUUUGAGCUAUCUAGUAUAUUACAGAAAUUCAGUCUUAAUGUGUUAAAUCAUUUAAUCUAUUGGAAGUAGCAUAAUACUGAGUUGGACUAGGGUCAGUCACCCAUAUAGUCCCAGAACUACGAGCUACAUAGGUUGUAAGUCCCCUCUAUGGGCAUCAUUUUAGUGAUCACGCCAGCAUGCCUCUAUAUGUUUGGCCGGGUGUAUUGGGUCCUCUCGAUGGGGCUUAUACAUGGGACUCCACAUUUAGCUCAUGUGGUUUUAUGUCGGUUAUUAAUACCUUCCACAGUUCAGUCAGACUCCAUUGCAUUGACCUCAUUUCAGUACAGUCAGUAUUCAGUCUAAGCAUGUUAUAAAUUUGGUCAUUGCAUUCAGUUAGCUUAGUAUUCAGUAUAUAUCAUGUUCAGAUUAUACUCUUGCUUUAUUGCUUGUUCAGUUUUAUGUUAUUUCAGCUUUACUCUAUCUUGCAUGCUCAAUACCUUUCAAGUACUGAUGCAUACUCUACUCUACAUCUUUUUGUGAUGUAGGUUCAGGUCCUCAACAGUUACAUCACGCAUAGAUCGGUUCCCAAUCUCUAGAUCAGUAGUAUCAGUGGUGAGUCCUCAUUAUCCGAGGACGGAUAAUAGUCAUGUUAUUUACUUCAGUAUUUCAGUCUUUUAGUUUUAGUUUUGCUAGAUUUAGCUGGGGCAUGUCCCAUUACUUUUAGUCAGUUAGAGGUCAUUUUCAGACAUAGUUAGAUUCAGCUUAGUAUUGGAGUUUGAUAUUUCUCUUGUAUUAAAACUGUCAGAUUUGAUAUAUUCAGUUUUAGAAUGGGUAUUCCCCAUCAUUCUCAUUUUCAUGAUAUUUAAGCUUCUGCAUAAGUUGUUAUUAUUCUUAGUAUGCUCAUGUCUUGCCAGCAAGGUUAGCUUGGGGUCACUUGUGAUCCUAGGUCCCGUUGGCAUCACUUAACUCAGCUUCUUGGAUUAUCCUCAGAGAUGGUAUCUCAACCUCCAUUGGUAACACUGUUUUUGUUCCAUAAACCAAAAGAUAAGGUGUUUCCCCAGUCGAAGUCCUGAUUGUGGUGCGGUAGCCAAGAAGGGCAAAUGGCAAACUCUCAUGCCAAUGAUUGUAGUUGUCAAUCAUUUUCCCCAAUAUCCUCUUGAUAUUUUUAUUGGUUGCCUCAACUGCUCAGUUUAUCUGAGGUCGGUAAGGAGUGGAAUUGCGGUGAAUAAUUUUGAAAUUCUCACAUAUCUCAUGCAUCAAGCCACUAUUAAGAUUAGCUCCAUUAUCUGUAAUAAUUGACUCAGGGUUCCAAAUCUAUAAAUAAUGUUAUAGCGGACAAAAUUCAUCACCACCUUCUUUGUCACAGACUUGUAUGAAAAUGAUUCUACUCACUUUGUGAAGUAAUCAAUAGCUACCAGAAUGAAUCUGUGUCCAUUUGAGGCGGCUGUCUCAAUAGGUCCAAUGACAUACAUCCCCCAAGCUACAAACGGCCAAGGAGAACUCAUCAUAUUUAGCUCAUUUGGUGGAACCCGAAUCAAAUCACCAUGAAUAUGACAUUGAUGACACUGUCUCACAAAACGAAUGCAGUCUAUUUCCAUGGUCAUCCAGAAAUAUCCAGCUCGUAGAAUCUUAUUUGCCAAAGUAAAACCAUUAAUGUGUGACCCACAUGUACCCCCAUAUAUUUAUUCAAUUAACUUUCUUUCCUCUUGAGAGUUAACACACCUUAAUAAUCCCAAAUGUGGAGUCCUCCUAUAUAGGAUUUCUCCACUUAGGAAAAAAUGAUUGGUGAGUCUCUGAAGUGUCCUCUUUUGAACAUUGUUUACGCCUUCCGGAUAGUCUCAUUCUCCGACAUACCUCUUAAUGUCAAAGUACCAAGGUUCUCCGUCCAAAUUUUCAUCUACAUGGAAAUAAUAGGUUGUCUGAUCCUGCACAUUAACCUUGAUUGGGUUUAUAUAGUUCUUGUCUGGUUAUUGAACCAUUGAAGCCAGGGUUGCUAGAGCAUUGGCAAACUCAUAGUAGAUAUGGCACAAUUCUUUGACAGAUUUCUUGCACAAUUCUUUCACACAUAGUAGAUAUGGGAGUAUCUUCACAUUCUUUGUGCUCCACUCGCCUUGAACCUGAUGAAUCAACAAGUCUGAAUCAACUAUAACCAACAAUUAUUGUAUGUUCAUAUCAAUAACCAUUCUAAGCCUAAGAACACAAGCCUCGUACUCCGCCAUAUUAUUUGUGCAUAAGAAUCUGAACUCUAUUGAGACAGGAUAAUGUUGACCUGAUUCUGAAAUCAACACCGCUCCAGCGCCGACUUCUUUGGAAUUCACAGCACCAUAAAAAAAUAUUCUCCACCUGAGAUAUUCUUCUGAAAUAUCCUCUCCAAUAGAUAAAACUUCUUCAUCAGGGAAAUAAGUUUUAAGAGGCUUAUACUCUUCAUCUACGGGAUUUUCAGCUAACGAUUGUCCCUUGAUGGCAUUUUGAGUGACAUAAACAAUAUCAAAUUCGCAUAGCAAAAUUUGCCACUUCACCAGCCUCCCAGUAGGCAUAGGCUUCUGAAAGAUGUACUUGAGCGGAUCCAUCAUUGAGAUGAGGAAAGUGGUAUACGCACAUAAGUAAUGUCUUAACUUUUGCGCAAUCCAAGUCAAGGCAUAAUAUGUGCGCUCCAAUAAACUAUACCAAGCUUCAUAAGGAGUGAAUUUCUUGCUCAAGUAAUAUAAACUUGCUCCUUCUUUACAGUUUCAUCAUGUUGUCCCAGCACACAUCCAAAUGCAUUAUCAGACACCGACAAAUACAACAACAAUGGUCUUCCAACAUUAUAAAGCAAUAUAGGCAUUUAUCCCAUCCAUCCACCGAGAAAAACACCAAAUGCACACUUUACGGGAUUUAACUUCAGAUUGUACCGCCUUAAUCUGUCAGAGAACUUCUUCAAAUCAGUUAUAUGAUCUGAGAUCUUCCGUGACUUGAUGAUGACAUCAUCCACAUAGAUUUCAAUCUCCUUAUGGAUCAUAUCAUGAAAUAUGGUAGUCAUAGCUCUCAUAUAUGUUGCCCCUACAUUCUUGAAUCCAAAAGGCAUUACCUGAUAACAAUAUACUCCCCAAGGUGUGAUGAAUGCUGUUUUUUCCGCAUCCUCUUCAUCCAUUAGAAUUUGAUGAUAUCCUGCAAAGCAAUCAACAAAUGACUACAUUUCAUGCUUUGCAUAAUUAUUAGUAAGUAUGUGAAUUGAGAGAGGAAAAUCAUCAUUUGGGCUAGCCUUGUUGAGAUCUCAAUAAUCUAUGCAUACUCUAAUUUUUCCAUCUUUCUUUGGUACUGGUACUAUGUUGGCCAACCAUGUGGGAUACUUGGUGACCCGGUUGACAUUGGCAUCAAAUUGUUUAGAGACUUCUUCCUUAACUUUUAAACUCAAAUCAGGCUUGAUCUUUCUCGGCUUUUGCUUUACUGGGAGGCAAGAGGGAUCAAUUGGCAACUUGUGUGAAACAAUGUCCGUACUUAGACCUGACAUAUCAUGAUAAGACCAUGCGAACACAUCCUUAUAUUGUCUCAAAAGUGCAACAAGUUCUUUUCUUUGGUACAGAGUCAAAUAGACACUAAUUCUUGUUUCCCUCACUAAUUCUGAAUCUCCAAAUUUAUCGUCUCAGUUUCAUCCAAAUUUGGCUUUUCUUUAUUUUCAAAAUAUUCAAACUACUUAGUCAACUCUUCAGAUUGCACAUCUUCUUCCUGUUCUGCAAAAGUUUGUUCACUGUUCGGGAUUUGUUCGCUCGUUUCAUUACAUGUCACAUUCUCGGUAUUAACAGAUUUAUUAGUUUGCUUGCUGAAAAAGAGAAAAAUAAAAUAAAAUAAAUAAUUAAGGAUAAAAUUUGAAACUCAAAGCAGAAAAUGUAUCUUAGAUUCGGCAUCUAAGCUUUCAAAAGAUAGAGGGAAAACACAACAAGUUCAAAAACAUUAUUCAGGCCUCAAAUUGAAUCAUGUUGUUUUGUUAAUUCUAAUACAAUCAUCUACCAAGAUUUUCGGAGAACCGGGGACAGGUUACAAGUCCAAUUGUUCAAAGCAUCUCUAGGCAUAGUAUCGCAUAUGGUCAGGGUCUCGGUGCAGUCCUCCAAAAUCAUAUUGCAUUCAGCUUCUUCAAUGAACAAACUUUUGAGUCCUUCUGCGAGGUUGUCUUCAACAACUUCUUCUAAUCCUUGUGCAACAAAUGCCUUGGAAAAUGACUGAUUCAAAGCUGUGAUAAGUUAUGGUAAGGGAAUGUCACUUUUCCUUUUGAGAUUAGCCGAUGAGAUUUCUUCAGGAGUAGGUGUGUAUCCAAGACCAAAGGUGUAUUUCUGACCAGAUAAUUGAAUAAUUGGUUCCACUAUUCCAUUAAAUUUCGCUCCAAGACCUUAACCAGGGAUAAAACCAUUCUUCAACAUCUCCCAAGCCACCAUCAUAAGCACACGUGGCAAAUUUGUCUUUUCAGCUUAUGUAGCACACAUAAUUUCCCUAAUAUGGAAUAUAAACCCAUCCAACUCUUCCAUACUUUCAAUAAUAGGGACUGAAUUUUCAGGAUAUAUCGAGUUGUUGCCUUCUCCAUGAACAACGAUUUCCUGAUGGUUCCAAACAAAUUUCAAAGUCUGAUAGUUGCUAUAACCCAUUUUAACUCGCGAUCAAAAUAUGUACAACAUAUUGGUGAUUUCCAAAUUAUUAACUAACUUAAAAAGUCGCCACCUAAUUAAUUACGGUGAAUUAGGGCACCUAAAACGAUUAAGUUAUUGUCUAAAAUUAACUUCAUUUUAAGGUCUACUAAACAUGAGAUUCUAGGUAAGGGUUCUAGUUAUCCUAAAGGGAAGGGGUAAGGCAUCCUUUAAGAUCUGUUGAAAAAUAGUUAAUCGGCCAAACUUAGGUUAAUUAAUUUUAAAAAAGAUAUGAGUGCUAAAGAAUAAGUAAUUGAGUAACCAAGUUGGAAAACAUUUUUUAUUUUAAAAGCUCUUUUGCAAUUGUAUUAGAAUGAAAAAUAUUUAAGAAAGAGUAAUUUCUUUAGAUCAAUUUAGAUAUUUGCUCAUUGAUUGACAAAGUGCUCCCUUUAGAAAAAGUUUUACAAAAAUAAGUGUUUAGAACAUUUUUUUUUUAAAGACAUUGUCAAGUUGAACAAAACUUAAUAAAUCUAGUGGGUUUAAAAAUGGAGCAUAAAGAAGUGUUUUAAAAAGAUUUUGCCAAAUAAAGUUUAUAAAAGCUGAAAUUAUUAUAAAGGUUUGUUUCUAACUAAAAAGGUACCCAAACUCAAACAUCUAUAUUAUGUCAACUAUUAUGAAACAAGAAAUUAACUCAUAUCCAAAACACAUAAGCAAGUUAAAACAAAUAAAUGCUAAAUAGUAAUAAGUAAAAGCGACCCCCAAAUGAAUUUUGCUUGCAUUUUUUAUAGUGUGGGAUGUCGAAUUCAUGUACGGGUAUGAUGGUGUUGAGUCCAUGAGACUCUAAUUUUGCGAGAGUCCUUAAUUGAGACUCCAUUUGCUCCAAAGUGUUCAUGAAAAUAAAGAAAGAAUAAAGAGAUUAGUGACGUGAAUCCACUUUAAGACUAUAUCGAAUAAACCAAACAUGAAGCCUAGUAAAGUCGUACAACCAAUAUACUAUCCGGAAUGGAAAAUAUGCAAGCAUAUGAUAAGCCGACUUAUUAACAGAACUCAAAGUAAUUAGCUUACAAGAUAAAACUAAUUCUCAAGUUUAUCCAAUUUAAUCUAUAAUGAAGUUACAUUUUAAGGAAUGAAGAUAAUUAAAACAAGCCAUUUAUUUAAAACUUAUAAGAAAGACUUAAACACAUAUACUAUAUAUGUUGACAGAAUAGGAAAGAAACUUAAAAACUCACAUUCUUUAAAAUAACAUAUUCAGAGAUUUACAUGUCAUUUAUUUAGAAAAAUUGAAGGAAGCUUAUGUACACAUAUUUGCUAAAAAAUAAUAGGAAAGAAGUUUAAAGAUUCACAAGUUAUUGACAGUAUAUUUUUCAUUCAACAAAAGGAACAAAUAAAAGCAUCAUAACAUAAAAUCUCUUGCCAGAUAAGGAUACCAAAUGCCAAAGAUAACAUUUUCAUCAUGAUGACAAAGAAAACAAAGGAAAAGAGGAACACGUUACAAGUCAAAUAUCGAAAAACAAAGUUUAGGACAUUUCAUUUGCAUCUUAAUCUAGUAAAGGCUAUACUCCGACAAACAUAAACAAAGCAAUACAUAUUUUAUAGGCUUAACAUUAUCUCAAAACAGUGGAAAAUAUAUUCGGUUAACAUCACUUAAGUAUGCUGAUAAGUAUUUUACUCAUUUGUCAAACUUCAAGCAAAGCAUAGUUUCCAAAGAGUUUACAACCUAAAAAUGAGUCUUGGAAACAUGAUUUCUAAAAAAUAAAAUAAAACAAUCUUCAAAAUACUUUAACAUCUGAUUUUUACAAAAGAAAUGAACAAACAGUGAAUAUUAAAAUCAAAGAUCAACUAAGUUACAUUCAUUCAUCAUUAUGCCAAAAACACAAAAGUGUUGAAAUGAAACUAACAGUAAGUCCAUAACACAUUAAAACACAAAUUCGUCUAUAUCUCACGAAAAUAAAAAAUAAAAAAACUGGAUGUCACUGACCUAUUUUGGGGCAGUGAACUGGGGGUGUUUUCGGUCGAAGAUCUAUGCUCGAAUAUGAAGACGAGGUUAAACCCGUUCAAAUCCAAAAUUGCAGCAACAAAAUGAAGAACAAAACUUUAAAACUAGGUGUGAUAGCUUCAAAGCUUUUAGGGUAGACGAAAAGCUGAAAAACUUAUCCUCAAUUUGACUCCAAAUACAAGUAUUUAUAGGGAGAAAACAGAGUUUAUGAGCAGGAAUUCAAAUUUUUUAAAUUGGUAAAAAACAAACCUUCAAAUCCAAACGUUGGAAACCCUUAGGAUAAGAUUUGUAGGAGCCACAUGAUUGAGAGGACAUUGGCGUGAAGAUGGAGUACCUACCCUCUGCUUAUUGUUGACAAAAUACGCUAAUUUUCCAGAAAAAAUGAAAGAGGAGACAUGAUGUG